GAUGAACGCUGGCGGCGUGCCUAAUACAUGCAAGUCGAGCGGACAGACGAGGAGCUUGCUCCUCUGACGUUAGCGGCGGACGGGUGAGUAACACGUGGAUAACCUACCUAUAAGACUGGGAUAACUUCGGGAAACCGGAGCUAAUACCGGAUAAUAUAUUGAACCGCAUGGUUCAAUAGUGAAAGACGGUUUUGCUGUCACUUAUAGAUGGAUCCGCGCCGCAUUAGCUAGUUGGUAAGGUAACGGCUUACCAAGGCGACGAUGCGUAGCCGACCUGAGAGGGUGAUCGGCCACACUGGAACUGGGACACGGUCCAGACUCCUACGGGAGGCAGCAGUAGGGAAUCUUCCGCAAGGGGCGAAAGCCUGACGGAGCAGCGCCGCGUGAGUGAUGAAGGUCUUCGGAUCGUAAAACUCUGUUAUUAGGGAAGAACAAAUGUGUAAGUAACUAGGCACGUCUUGACGGUACCUAAUAAGAAAGCCACGGCUAACUACGUGC
This 498-nucleotide ribosomal RNA is filed under the name uncultured bacterium. RNAcentral's name for it is "partial 16S ribosomal RNA". It matches the Rfam family "Bacterial small subunit ribosomal RNA", at positions 28 to 508 of the family's 1533-position model. The record is from RNAcentral.